CCCUUAGAUGUUCUGGGCCGCACGCGCGCUACACUGAUGAAUUCAACGAGCUCCUAACCUAGGCCGAAGGGUCCGGGUAAUCUUUGAAAUUUCAUCGUGAUGGGGAUAGAUUAUUGCAAUUAUUAAUCUUCAACGAGGAAUUCCUAGUAAGCGCGAGUCAUCAGCUCGCGUUGAUUACGUCCCUGCCCUUUGUACACACCGCCCGUCGCACCUACCGAUUGAAUGGUCCGGUGAAGCCUCCGGAUUGGCGCGCACCUCGGUGCCGCCGAGAAGUUGGCUAAACCUUACCAUUUAGAGGAAGGUGAAGUCGUAACA
This 315-nucleotide ribosomal RNA is filed under the name uncultured eukaryote. RNAcentral describes it as "partial 18S ribosomal RNA". It matches the Rfam family "Eukaryotic small subunit ribosomal RNA", at positions 1470 to 1796 of the family's 1831-position model. The record is from RNAcentral.